RNAcentral lists this ribosomal RNA (451 nucleotides) under uncultured bacterium. RNAcentral describes it as "partial 16S ribosomal RNA". It matches the Rfam family "Bacterial small subunit ribosomal RNA", at positions 29 to 523 of the family's 1533-position model. The record is from RNAcentral.
AACGAACGCUGGCGGCAGGCUUAACACAUGCAAGUCGAACGGGCAUAGCAAUAUGUCAGUGGCAGACGGGUGAGUAACACGUGGGAACCUUCCUAGAGGUACGGAACAACGCAGGGAAACUUGUGCUAAUACCGUAUACGCUCGAGAGAGGAAAGAUUUAUCGCCUUUAGACGGGCCCGCGUAGGAUUAGGUAGUUGGUGAGGUAACGGCUCACCAAGCCUACGAUCCUUAGCUGAUCUGAGAGGAUGAUCAGCCACACUGGGACUGAGACACGGCCCAGACUCCUACGGGAGGCAGCAGUGGGGAAUCUUGGACAAUGGGUGCAAGCCUGAUCCAGCCAUGCCGCGUGAGUGAAGAAGGCCUUCGGGUUGUAAAGCUCUUUUACCAGGGACGAUAAUGACGGUACCUGGAAAAUAAGCCCCGGCUAACUUCGUGCCAGCAGCCGCCGUAA